This 292-nucleotide ribosomal RNA is filed under the name uncultured bacterium. Its description in RNAcentral is "partial 16S ribosomal RNA". It matches the Rfam family "Bacterial small subunit ribosomal RNA", at positions 505 to 796 of the family's 1533-position model. The record is from RNAcentral.
GUGUCAGCCGCCGCGGUAAUACGGAAGGGGCAAGCGUUGUUCGGAAUCAUUGGGCGUAAAGGGCGCGUAGGUGGUCUUGUAUGUCUACCGUGAAAGGGUACAGCUCAACUGUAGCGCGUCGGUAGAAACUGCAGGACUUGAGGCUGGGAGGGGCUGGUGGAAUUCCCUGUGUAGCGGUGAAAUGCGUAGAGAUGGGGGAGAACACUCGUGGCGAAGGCGGCCAGCUAGACCAGUUCUGACACUGAGGCGCGACAGCGUGGGGAGCAAACAGGAUUAGAUACCCCGGUAGUCC